RNAcentral lists this long non-coding RNA (19597 nucleotides) under Coffea arabica (coffee). Its description in RNAcentral is "long non-coding RNA (CARA_LNC002747)". Lineage: Eukaryota; Viridiplantae; Streptophyta; Magnoliopsida; Gentianales; Rubiaceae. The record is from RNAcentral.
UUUUCUUUUUUUUUUUUUUUUUUUUUGGGUAAACCUUAAAUCUGCAAUUACCAGCUUAUAAUUACGAUUGAAAUUUAAACACUAAAUAUUUGCACCAAAUGUACUACUAACAUUUAUUGGGGCUAAAACCAAACUGCCUGUUAGCCAGGUCGAAACUGACACGUGUCCCUUGCUGCUGCACAUUACCGAUAAUGGACAGUGAACUCGUCGGAGCAAAUGCCAAACAAAAUUUCCCCCGCCCAUCAACCGGCACCAAGUAAUUACUCGGCUUCAAUGACAGCCUCUUCCCACUCGCAAACAAAAGACACCGUUGGAACCCUCACCGAACCGCCGACUGAUGAAAAAUCAUAACACGUGUCGAACAAAGAGAACCCACUGGACGAAGGCAAAUCUGAUGCGUACUUCUUAAACGCAUCGCGCAGCGCGUUAUACGCCUGUGUAUUCAACCGAGUCACAGCCGUUCCCGAGUCAACUAUAAUCCUCCGCGCCCAUUUCCGUCCACCUGGAAAACCGACGCCGGAAUCGAUAGAGUCUCGCCGCCGACAUUUAUCCGACCAUGUCCAGUAAUAAAAUAGAUCCAGUUUGGGUUUCUAACCAUCGAAGCAAAGACUGAGUCACCGGGUGGGGCUGAGUUAAAAUCCAGAGUCGAAGACGAGCUGGAGUCGCGGUUCACUAAACAGUAAGAAAACGACGUCGCUCUCAGUCGGCCAGGCAAUGAUAAAGGGGCUCGAGCCAGUCCAACUAAGCCAGCCGCACCAACAAACAAGCCCACAUUAUCAUGCCCGCAUCCGAUGGGUACGUCACUACCGAACCCGAGUUCCCAAACGACACCGUAUCAGUAGCUAAAUCCCCCAUCGUGUAGGACCCAUCCCCGUAAUUAAUCUGAUAAAUACACUUCCCAUCACUACACCCUGAAAUCUGGAGCUGCGAGCAUUCCUGUGCGGAGCAAGAAACGGUUCGGUAAGUCGAUGACGAACUCGGGUCGAAUAUCGGGUCGGUUUGUUGGUAGCAGUCGGCGCAGGGCUGGCAUUGGAGCCAGCUGAGGUCGCUUCCGGUGUCGAUAACCAUGUAGUAUGAUCUGCCUGGUCGACCCACGCCCAUACGGGCAAAGUACUCUCCGCUUCCCUGACUUACCCCGGAAGUUAACGGCGUCUCCAGGUCCUCCGGUUGGACGGCGGUCGGAACCGGUUUGAGGUCCGCUUGGGUGUAGCCGGAGAGAGCGAACUCGAGCUUGGAGUUGAGAGAGUUAACUUGGGCCGAGUCACGGGCGAUACGGGCGCGCGUGAGGGAAGAAUAAUCUUUGUGCUGCGGUUUUUUCACGGAAGCCCUUGGGUGCAGUGAAAAUGAGAGAACCGAAGAGUUAUGUUGUGCGGUGGCAGUGAUGGUAGGCUUAGCUUCUUCUUCCUGCUGGGCUUGUGGGGUUUGAGUGAAAACUUGAUGGGUUUUUUGGAUAACGGCUGAAACAUCAAAAAUUUGGUAGCUGUUGUGUUGAUGAUCACGAAUGGAAUUCGAAACAGAGGUAAAGGAAAGCAAGAGAGCGAGAACUAAGAAGAAGGAGAGAAUGGGGCUUGGAGUUUGAGCCAUGUAGUCGUCGUUGUUGUGUUCUUGAUAGGUUCAGAGGAGUGAGUUAAAGUGAGAGCUGGGAAUGGGGCUUAAGUAAAGGACGUAAGGCAAAGGAGGGGCAGGGAAAGGACGGGGAAGGGUUGGGGGGUCCUCAGGUCAGGGUUGUUUCCUGUUGAGGAUGAGAACAAGAGGAGCAUUUAAAGUUUGAAAGAAGCAUGAAACCCGCUCUCUAAAGUUAAUCCUCUUGACAUUUUCCUUUUUCUUUUCUUUUUCAGGAGUUUGGGUAUUGGUGGCAAUGCAUGGAUUGGGCUUGGUUAACGCAAUGGAUUAAUUUUCAUUCAUUUUUCGACCUUGAUUAUAGUAGUAUUUUAGCUUUCGAGUUUGGAUGUUUGAUUAGGAAAUCAACUUGUUGAUUUUAAAGUGUGGCUAGUACGUCCAGUAACAGAUCCGAGAUCUAACUGUUUGGAUAGGAUAUUAUUUGAAACAUUAUUUAGCAUAAUUACUGUAAUAUUGUUUGUGAUGUGAUGUAUGUGGGAUAAAAAGGUGAUUGAAAAUAUAAAAAGAUGUGUUGAAAAAUAUGUUUAUGAUGAAAGCAAAAUAUUAUUAUUUGAGAUAAUUUCACUAUCCACCGGACAAACCAUUUGUUAAUGAAGCCUCGUGCAAAGCUUGUCUUCUUGUUCUUUCGUGAUUUCUUGUGAAUCCCUUCUUGUUGUUUGCCUGGUUUUUUAUUUGUGCUGCAGAGAAACUCCAGAGUCGAAACUCCUGUUGUUUUAUUCACAUUCUUUCUUUUUGAGCUAUUCACAAUCUUUCUACUUGAUGCUUUUAUCUUUUUUCUUGUCGGUUGAGUGCAAAGAUGGUUGGUGCAAGUGAUCUCUCUUCCCUCUGUCUAUCUUUAAUUUUAUCUUAUUGUUAUAAAUGAUGGUGAUGCUUGACGGCUCUUUGCGUGGUGGUGGUGGCGAGUUCUCUGAAGCCACGAGAGAUUUUAGUGAAUGCCCAAGAGCAAUGGUUCAUUUGGUUUUGGAGGAAACUGACUCUCUAACUACUUUUGUUUCAUUAGAUAGAUCCACCUGUAUAGAGGCUGCAAGAUUGGUAGUUUGGGAAGUGAUUUGCUGUACUGCAGUUAAUGUAGUUAAUGUUGUUGAAUCUUUUGUGGUGUAAGAACUCUCCUCAGGGCACCCACGAACUGCGAGUGCUAAUGCCAAUUUGUUUGAUUAGUGAUGCACAAUUGCACAUGCAGCUGAAGGCUUGAGACCUCACGUACCAAAUGGCUAAUUGGAUGAUAAGUUACGGUACCUAAUCGAUCAAUGUUCUUAUCGUUCACGUUCCAAGUUUACUUGGAAACUCAUGUGCAAUCAAACUCUGAAGAAAAGGACAAUCAUGUUCGUAAGUUUUCCAAUUUAUGUUCUGAUAGAUCAUCCCCUUUGAAUGGCAUCGGAUGAGAAUCAAAGUGCUACCUUAUCUUCGUAGUUUUUUGAUGCAUUAGAAAAGGGAUAAUUGCACAAACCUCCCUUGAUGUAUCUCAAAUUUUCACUUAGCACCCUUUAAUUAAAAAAAAAUCACGUGUCUUCCCUAUUUUUAACUUUUUGUAACAUUGACAACCUAUUACAAAACAAAAUAUUUAAAAACUCAAAUUUUGGAUAGCGGAGAUAUUUUCAUUCCAAUUGUGCCCUUUGUCGUCUUACUCUUUUUUUUUUUUUUUUUCAAAUUGAAAGCAUGUAAAAAAAGCUAAAAAUAAAACAAACGGUACAAAUGUGUAAAUUUUGAUUGAUACAGUAUAAUCUUAGAUAUUUUAAUGUACCAACAAAUUAUUUUAAUAAUAUAUUCAAAGGGUUUUCAAGUCAAAAAGAUUAUUCCUUUAUUAUAAAGUGCUUUUGGUUAAUUUGAGGAGCUUUUCAAAAUUUUAAAUUUUUUAAAAUUUUCUAAAUUCCUUUUCUAGAUUGAUGGCUUGUAAAUCAUAAAAAAGGCAAUAUAUUUAUGUUCACAAACUUACUUGAGGUUUUCUCAGACAUCACAAAUUAUUGUUUUUAAUUGAGAAGUGUUUAUGGAUGAAAUUAAGGAUUUAAGAAUUGUGUACAAUUUUUUUGAAUUUUAUAAUUCUUUGACCAGAUCAAUGGCUUGAAAACUUGAAUAAGAUAAAAUUCUUAACUAUAAAUUUAAAAACAUAUUUGAGGUGUUUUCAAGGUGAAAAAUGCUAUUAUUUUCAGUGUACAAUUCUUAGGCAACUUUUGUGAAUUUUCCAAAUUACUUAGAUUUUUAAAUUUUUAGUAUGUUUCUUGUUAACACGAAAAUUAUUAAUAGGUCUUUCAACCUUGUUAACACCUUGCAAUUCCUAACUAAAAAAUACAUCGGCCAAGUGUUCAAAAGUUAAGAGAUUAACUGGUUUUGUUAUGUCAACAAAAUGGUUCACAAGAGAAGGGCAAUACUGAAAUGAAAUUAUAUUCUCUAUCUACAAAUGAGUUUUUUUUAAUAAUAUAUUUGAAAUGGGUUGGCAAUGUUACAAAAAAGUUAAAAAUAAGGAAGGCAAGUGAUUUUUUAAAGUUUAAAGGUGCUAAGUGAAAUUGCCACAAACCUCAAGGGAGAUUUCUGAAAUUAUUCCUGUAAAAAAAUUACGUCUGGGCAAGGUUAACCUUGCAUUUGCCGAGACCAAUAAGUACUGAAUUUAGUGAGAUCUCCAGAUGCCUGAAGGAUGGACUAUCAUUGGCAAUCGGCAAAUAAUGCAGUAUGGCAGGGCAGUUGCUGCGAAGUAAAUUGAAACGAAGGGAAAACCUUAUACGCAGUAAUGCAGGCAAGAAUGUCAUUAUCCGUAUGAACAAUAUAAUCCAAAAAAGAAAAAGCCAAAAAGAGUUAAUCCAUUUUAUAUUUUUUCUGGAGAAAAAAUAUUAACCUAAGAGAUUAUUGCCAAGUCAUCACAUAUAUAUAUAUCCUAAGACGUAUAAAAAAGGGGAGUUGGCUGAUAUCUCAUAAGAAGUGAUGGUCCCGUGUGGGCACCAUCAGUAGGUGGUUAAUUAUGGAAUUUCACUUUGAUGUUUGGGUGUUAGACAGAUACGAUGGUGUUGUUAGCUUACGUGGAAGCAAUUAGGAGUUUCUGAAGUUGCAUGUCUUGUACACUAUAGUAAACAGCUUUUGCUAAUGUACGAACUACCAAAAUGUAUGCACAUAUAUUAUAAACUAUUGCCUUCCGUGAAUUCACAUAAAAGCUCCAAGUUUCGAGUUAAUUUUCCUCAAUCCUUGGCAUUUGAACCUCUAAUGCUAUGCUUAAACCUGAUAUUUUUUUUUAUCUGUUUAAUAGUUGCAUGAAAUAAUAUACAUGAUUAAACUCAUCUUUUUGCAUUAAAGUAAAACUUUAGCAUAGAAAAGUUACUCCUUUGAAUAUUUUACUAAUGAAUUAAAAAAAACUAGAUCUUAUCGUUAGUGACAUGUAUAAAUUAAACUUAUAUAUCUCAGUUUUCCCAAAAAAAAAAAGACUUAUAGUCUUUAAAACAGCUCCUGAAAUACAAUAAUUUAGUCUCAUAAACUGUCCUAUUUAAUGUCUAACUAUUUGUAUUGUCAAAUUUUUCUUUUCAAUCUUCCAUUGAUUUCUCAACUAUGAGAUUGCAUCUCCCAGAUGAUUGCAACUUACAAACUGUAAUGUAUUAGAAGUAAGUGUCUUGCACUCAAAUAAAUCCUCCAAUUUAUGAAUACUUGGAUAGUAAAUUACCUGCCAAAAUAAGAAAAUUCCAAAUUAGCUGUCUGCUGAUUCCCUCUUCCUAUUUGGUUUCCUAAUGAAUCAGUUUUGUUGAGCCAAUAGAUGCUAUUCAAAUACCAUUUAAAUUAUUCUUAGUGACCACGUCCAAUACCUUAAUUGUCUAGGUUUUAAUUAAGUAUCGUUAAGCAAAAUUGUUUUUUCAAAAAUUAUUACUCCUCAGAAAUUUAUUUGGAUUUUCUCUGAUUAUUUUACAAGCAUCACUAAUCGAUAAAUACUCUUCCAUUCUUUAUAGCCACAAAUUUUUUUUUUUUAUGACUUUCAUCUGGGCAACAUCAUGCAUCGCAUGAUGCCCCAACAAACUAGUAUAUAUAUAUAUAUAUAUAUAUAUAUAUAUGUAUGUAUGUAUGUAUAUUUUGGGGAAGAUGUUGCAUUUUUUCCUGUUUCUCUUGCAACACUUGCCUAUCUAAGGAAGAGCCACGUAUUCUUAUAUGUCAUGCUCCGAUCAUAAUCAAGAAAGUGAUUAUUCAUAUCAACAAUAGAAUCUAAAAAAAAAUGAAAAAGAGUUAAUUCUCUUUAUAUUUUUCUUCAAAAAAAUAUUAACCUAACAUAUUAUUAUCAAGCCAUGUCCUCGUGUGCGUGUGUGUAUAUAUUUUUUUGGGAAGAUGUUGCAUUUUUUAUGUUCCUCUUACAACACUUACCUAUCUAAAGGAAGAGCCACAUGUUCUUAUUUGUCCAGCUUCGACCAUAGCCAAGAAAGGGAUUAUAUUAUUUAAAAUAAUUAUUGUAGCAUUUUUUGUGAUGUGAUGUAUGUGAGAUAAAAAGAUGAUUGGAAAUAUAAAAAGGUGGGUUGAAAAAUGUGUUUAUGAUACAAGCAAUUUGAGAUAUUUUUGCUAUCCAAACACUCCCAUAUAAUCCGAAAAAAGAAAAAACAAAAAAAAAGUUAGUUCUUUUUUUCGUUUAUUAUCCAACCAUGUCCUUGCAUUAUAUAUAUAUAUAUAUAUAUGUUGCAUUUUUUCUGUUCCUCUUUACCACACUUGCCAAUCUAAGGAAGAGCCACGUGUUCUUGUUUGUCCAGCUUUGACCAGAGCCAAGAAUGCUCAAAACCAAUUUUAAAGCAGUAGAAGACGGAAGAGGUUUUAACUACUAAGAAAUUGACUUGCAUUGGAAAUAAAAUGACAGCUGCUUAGAUGUUGGAAUCAGAGCAUGACCAUUAGUACAUUUUUAGUUGUUGGGGGAAAUAGCUUUUAGCUUUCCAAGGCUGCACUUGCACCAAAUCAUUUCAGACUUUUACUCCCUCCGUCCCAUUUUGAUAGUCCUAUAUUCCUUUUUCAUCUGUCCCAAAGUGUAGUCCACUUUCCAAUUGAAGAAUGUAGUUGUAUUUUAAUUUUUCUAAAAUACCCUUAUUCAAUGUAAGUAAUUAUUACUAUAAACCUACCCCAUUUAAUAAGAGUUAUUCUUUUUUACCAUCAAUUCAAAUUCCCAUAAAGUUGCACCAUAUUUAAUAUGAGGGUAUUUUAGAAAAAUAGCAAUCUAAAUUUACUUUUCCAACAAAGUUAACUACUUUUUCUUAAACUGUGUGAAAAAAGAAACAGGACUAUCAAAGUGGGACGGAGGAGUAUUAAAUUUAACACGCAGAAAUUUAAUCCCUCUUUCACUAAGUAAUCCUGGAAGACAGCAACAAAUCACCCAAGUUUUAAAAUGUCUGCGAGCGUAAAAUUCUUCAUGGUCACUUAGAUAGCACGUCAAUAAUGUUGCUACACGAGCCCCAAACGGAGGAUAUUAUAAUCCCCACUAGGUAACAUAAUUAUACAACAUUAGCAACGAUCCGCGAGAGUACAGUAUAUAUAGUACAUUGUUUGGGCGCCUAUAGAGCAGGAUAUUAAAACCGAACAACCCAUACCGUCAGCAAACUAAUCAAAGUGAAGUCAGCUCCAUGAAUUUCUGUCUAAUGUGAUAAUUGACCGCACACAGUAAGUACUUUUACGGGCAUUUUCUUUGAACAUAAGAAGCUCCAUGUUCCUCGAACCUGUUAAUCAAGAGACAAAAGAUUAAUAUGGGGAGAAAAAAGGAGAAAAGUUGAGUAUUGAAGGUGAGUGGAUGCAAAGCUUACUCAGAUUUGAAAACCACAUUUGCUGAAAGGAACCAAGCGACGCCAAUAUACUCCCACCUAUCCAAACACUGAAUGCGACAGUUAGUCAACGCGUAGGAUGCUAACAUGAAUGCAAAGAAAUAUCCUCUUCAAUUCAAUCAUAAACAGAAGCAAUUUGGUCUAAACAUGCAACUUUGGAGGAAGCACUGAGGCAAGGAAUAGGAAUGAAACAAAAGCAUAUCUGCCAGUUACCACAUGAUUUACCCUCUCCAUAUGGCGAAUUCCUAAGUGACACGUAACAUCAAUGCUGUAACCUAAUGGCUUUUCUAUUGAGCCACCUCCCAAAGAGAUGCCGAUUUAUAUAACAAUUCCAAUGUUCAACCAGAAAAUUUGGUUGAGAAGAAAUGAAAAUAACAUGGGAAGGAAAGGACAACAGCAAUCUACAUCCACCCAUCUACACAAGCAGAAGAUAGAACACAUUGAUUUCCUUUUUCAUUUUUUUUAAUUUUUUCCCAUCAAGCAAGUUAGUCUACCUGAAUCUCCUUUCCGUUGCAUUUCCACUUGCCAAAACUUUCACUCUAGCUGCUUGAGGAGAUUCCUGCAAACGGUAGACCCAGACAUAAGAAAAAUCUCAAGCAUUAACUAAAACCACUGGACAAACUUGAAUCAUCACGUUGCAAUAAGCUGUGUAUUCUCUCAACAUUAAGCAUUUGAUAUCAGAAAUAACUAGAUAGCCGCAUGUCUGAUCUUUCUUCCUUCCCUUUCUUUCAUCUUUUCCUUCAUCACACAACUUUGGGCUUCUGAGUUUCCUUUUUAUUUUCCCUCUCCUCUUUUGGGAGAGUACCAGAACAAGGACUUCUUUUUCUUUUAAAUACAGAAAUCUGACUGAAAAAAACCUACCUCUAGCAAGUCUUUCUCCAGACGUUCCUUUAACUGUUGCAUGGAUGCAGUGCCACCAGCAAGCUGUGUAAGGUUGAAAUCAAAUCAGAUACUAUAUGAUCCACUCUUCUAAGUACAAGAUAUGUUUCCUAAAGACAACACAAAAGGAACUAUGCAAAUACAUGAUCUGGGGGACAGAACAGAAACUUGAGUGGAAGACAUCAUCUUUAAGAGUCAUUGAGCUAAAACAAGCUUAAAAAGAAGUUAGCAAAACUAAAUAUAACAGCAGGAAUCCUUGAUGUGCAUCUGCACUGAAAAAAGGACAAAAAAUAAUAUCCUGCUACUAUAGGAAUAUCAUCAGAGUGAAAAAGUAGAAUUAAGUGAGAUGUCUGAGUUUGUGGAGAGAGGGCAAAUUUAUUGGGACGCAGCCAAUUAUGCAUAAAUACUAUGAAGAGAAUAUAUGGGAAGCUGGAAAUCCAAGGAAAAAGGGGAACAGCUGCAAUGAAGCACUACAUACAAGGUUUACCUCACUAAAAUUGCAGAGAUUUUAGAUAAUCAACAGGGGAAAAAAUAAUUUAUGUCGACAGAAAAAAAAAGUCUAGAUAACAGCCUUAUACAUUUUGGUGUAAUUAAGGUACUUAUUCACAUUGAAGGGUUGAAAAUUUACCAGUAUACUGCUGAAGAGUUCUCUCCUAAUAUCCACAUCACACUUAUUUAUGCUCUCCAAGACCUGAAGAAUUUUAGAAGGAUAUAUUGUAAAAGUAAAAAGAGAAUAAUGGUAGCUAGAUCCCCAGCUCAUGGAUAAAAGUGCAAAAUGACAGGAAUUACCAUUUGUGGCAGGCCACGAACAGAAGAGCAGUCUCGGCAAAAUUCUCCAUACCAGGAAUAGUCUGACAGAUUAGAUCAUGUCAGUAAAUGGAAUUUCAAAUCAAACCAAAAGCAAUCAAGAGAAUUCAAAAUGCAUCAUUUGUCAAAAAAACUCAUCAGCAUCAUUUGUCAAAAUCCAUCAUUUGUUUCUCUAGUUAUUUGAUAAUUUGAACCAAGACAGUAUAUUAGUUAAUCUAAACUCAUCAGCAUAAAGGUCUCUAAAAGUAGCCCAUGCAAUGAGGCAUAUGUUUAGGCAAUUCCGGUCAGUGCUAAACAAGUCUAAUAUAGCAGCAAACCUCAUCGCUUCUUGUCUUUAUAAGCAAGAUUUAUUGGACAAUGAAUGUUCCAACAAAUGAUGAGAAAGACCUCCUAAAGGCCAGAGCAGGAAACUGCCACAAGCCUUACUUAAUUCUUUGCUAGAUGUGCAUUUUCAGACCAUCUUUAUUUUCCAAUGGCAAUUAAUAAAGUCCUAAAAGCCUAGCCAAGAAAAGGAUAUCCAUGUUGAGCCAAAAAUUUGAGCUAUGAUUCUCCAACCGUGCAUGGUUUACGAGAUCUGCAUACUUAAGAAUAUGACGCUUAAAUUUCAAAGCAGAGAAGAAAGGUAAAAGUUUAACUUGCAUACGUCACGACAAGCUCCACAUGUUCUGAGAACAUGAAAAUAACUAAAUCCAAUUGGAAGAACAUUUGAGGUGAAAAAUAUAAAAUUACAAAUCUAACUAUAAGCUUCAACUCUUAGGGAGGAGAAUUGGUCAAACAAAUUUAUAAUUUUUGUAUCAAGGAUUAGAUUAUCUUAGUAAGCUCGUGCUGUGCAAUAUACAUAAGCAGGAUACUCUGCUACUUUUAUGUGAUGUAGAUACUUAAACUAUUUGUCAAGUCAGUGAAAGACAAACAUGAUGAAAAUCAUAGGGGAGAAGGGACAGUCGAGAGGUAAGCAUAAUGCAAAGAAAAAUACAUUUUUUUCUUUCAAUCUGGGAUACAUGUACGCUAUACUUCCCCCUUGAGCAAAAGCACAAAAAUCUCUUAAUACUAAGCUCAAAAUAAUAGCACGUAAAAAAAAAAACUCCAAAAGGCUUGCAGAUUAUGUAAACCUGAAGAGUCAAAUUUGCACAUCAUGAUUAUAAAUGGAAAAGCGGCAUAGGAAAAAGUUUCAAAACCACCUGAGCCAAGGAUGGGUUGAAAAGAAUAUCAGGUGCCUUGAAUCUGUCGGCUCCAAUUUCUAUUGUCCUGGAUUAAUAAACAAUGAACUUAGAUGAAAAGGAAGUGCCAGUAAGAAAAUAGAAGUACAGAGAAAGCUAUGAGAUGCGUAAGACCUAGAUUAUCAAUGGCCUUGUUAUAUAUCACCCCAGGUAAAUCAUGAAAAAGUUAAUGGAACAAGAACAACUCAUUAAGAUGUGUCACUUACAGAUUCUAAAAAUGUCUGUAUCCUGUAAAAAACUUUCAAGAUAGAAACAAGGCUUUAAUUACAAAACUUACUGUCCAUCAGGAAGCUCGUAAGAUGUCAUUGGUAUGUUCGAGUAUGAACUAUCUGAAAAGAAUAAAAACCAAGAUUAUUUGUAAGUGUUUUGUUAUUGCACUACAAUUAACAUGAUGAAACCACUAUAAAUAGGAGCACAUCUUACAUGAUCAACUAAUUAUAAAGCAUUAGCAAGAUUCCUGAACAAAGAUAGGAAGGAAGUUGGCAGUGGGUCUGCUGGAUUAAAUAAUAAAGCAAAAGAUUAUGGCAUGUGCUAAAGAGAAGCAUUAGGCUUUUUGUUGGAUCAUGACGACUUGUAAUACAGGAAUGUUUAAGUUUGCUCUAUCCCUACGCAAUUUUCACAAGUGAUAUUAUUGGUAGCUGCCCUUGUUCAUGUAGACUUUCUAAGUGCUCAGACUUGGCUCUUACUGUGUCCAGGCUCCCCUGAAAAAUAGUAUGUACACUUUCUAUACUCUUCUAUCCUAGGUUAUAUAUAUUCCCAAUAAUGAGUCAAUAAAUGCAAGAUCAAAUGAAGUUCAAACAAUGCACCAAAGCAGUACUAACCAUCAUAUGGAGUAUCAGGAGCUCGACAUACACAUUCUUUGAUAUCACUAGCAAUUACUCUCUGUUAAAAGAAAGUCACAAUUAGUAGCAGAAGAAAAAAGGGUACAAGUACAGAAUAAAUGUAGAUUUUGGUCAGUCAGUAACCUGGCAAUAGAGUUUGUAACUCUCAGUUGUAUUUGGAAAAUCAAGAUCUACUGUCUGUAAGACUCAAUGAACAAUCCAUACAAUGUAAUAAGAACCACAAGCAUAGUAAUCAGUAAAAUCAGUACAAUAUUAAGCCUUCAGAGAAAAGAAAGUAGAAAGUAAUUACAUUAGCUUCAGUUUACAACCUUGUUUAGUAUUUACUUUAACAGCAUUGCCUAUGAAAUACACAGUAUUAAAAUAGUAAAUAUCUGUAAUCACUUGAUUCCACACUGGAAAUGUCAAAAAUAUAACCAGUAAGCUUUUCCAUUGUUUAAGCUUUUAAGAAGACUUGCUAUUUAACAUCAUAAGCGUAGGUUAAAGGUACAGCCACCUCAUGCUUGCACUUCAUACACCUGUUAAAACUAAAAUAAAGCCACAUUUGUGGAGCUUUUUAGAGAUAAAAAUAAAGCAGAUCGUUCUCUGGAGACCAGAUUAGCAUUUUGCAAGGCUGUACAAUGAAAUAAAGACACUAUAAGACAACAUUUAGUAUGGCUUGAGGUGAGUUCAUUGUGAUGAUCACUUCAAAGAAAGGGGAAGAGAAGCACGUAAAGCAACAUUAUUGUUAAUUUUAGUACAGACUAUCAACUUAUUUAGUUACUACUGCAGAAGGUGGAAGAAGAAAUUUCCAAACAAUUUCUCCAGAGGAGAAUAAUGACUACAAUUGUGGUAGUGAUAUAGAGGUAAAAUGUUAAAAAACAUUCAUAAUAUAACAGGAAAAAUCACCUGAAAUUCUCCAGGCCGAAUUCCUUUCUUUUGAAUGCGUAGCGAGGUUUUAUCUGAAAUGAAAAUAGGAGAACCAAGAGAUUGUACAAGGAAAGAAGUCAGAUAAUCAUGAUCAGAUAUUUAAGAGCGUAAGUAUUAUUCAUUCAGUGAAAGAACUCACAGUAAUGCCUUUGCUUUCCAAACUUUUCAUCAAGCAAUCAGUAAGGAAUUCUCCGCCAAUAGGAGAUGUUGCCACGCCUAUGCAAAAAUAGAAACUUAGAAAAUAUCUCUAAAAGACGAAGAAAACUAUAAACUGGGCUAUCUUCACAAGAAUUGGGAAGGUGUAAAUUAGAAAGGAAUACUCCAUCCAAAUAAAUGCUCAUAUUAAUUGUUUGCAAUAGUCUAAUGAAUUUAGAUAUCCAGAUGUAUACUUCAUUCAGUAUAACCAUUGAACAUCCACUAGAAACAAAUUGAAAGCAGACAAGCCUUGAGCAAACAGUGUAGGGAAGGCUUUACAGGUUUAUUCAAACAGCAGAAACAUAUGAAUGUGUACGUCUUAUGCCACUAGCAUGCAAGAUAUGCCUAUUGCUACGUGAAUCACAAAUUUCAAUUCUUCAGACUUUGCCUACAAACAACCCCCCAAAAAUGAACUUCAAUUCUCCACUUUUUACUGACCAGUAGUUCUUUGACUACAAUAUAUCUCAUCUCAGAGCUCCACCUGUAUUAAUGCUAUUUCACCUUUGGAACUCAGAAAUCAAACCAUGUACUGCAAUAAGCUUCAAGCAUCAAAAAACUAUAUUUGUUGCAAUACCAUCGGGAUCCUUCACAUUUGCAAUGGUUACUAUGUGCAUAUCAAUCAACAGUACAACUAGACAACAACCAGUAAAUUUCCAAAUUGUGGUAGUUUUGAAGAAGAUUUCUCAAAUAGUGAGAGUUCUGAAGCAACGCAUUCACUGAAUGCGUCUUUUAAACAACAUUCAAUAAAUGUAUUCUUCCAGGGAAAAAAUGCAUAAACAAAUAAAAGAGUAUAUGCGAAUGCAUCUUUUAAGGAAACAACACAUUCACUAAGUAUGUUUUUCACCCUUUGGGAAGAGGUUUGAAAAACACCACUUUUGGGAAUUAAUUUUAAAACAUCACACCUUUUGGGAAUUUCCUAGACAACAACUGGACAACAGAAUAUGAAACUCAGGACAAAAAGGUUUAGUCAAUUAAAAAUCCAAGUUAUUCCACAAGAAGUAGCUCAAAAAAAAGCUACAAAAGACAUGGAUUAACACAUUAACAAAAUUAAAAGAGAUCACUGGAGUUGGAUAUACAAUGAUCUCACUACCAAAAACCUCCAACAUAGUAAGGUCAAAGUCAGUGCUAGUAUCCAUCUGCAGUUUCUACAUAGAUCAAGGAGUACCUUUUGAAGUACAUAUCCAUCAUGUACGGAGCAACUGUAGUUGAUCCUCCGCACUGAAUCAAUUAGCACAACCAAUAAGUGCCCAUUUUAAUCAAGGUCAAAUAAGCAUAAAAUUUAAUUGAUCGACAAGAAAAAAUAGAAAAAAGCAACUUCAUUAUGGUAGAAAACAAAUAUGAUCCAGCACAGUAGUAAAGAGAAAAGAAAACACAAGAUCGAGGGAUUGUUCUUUUGUUUUCCGCAAAACACUCUAAGGACUACAAAUGCAUGAAAAAAUUAAAGUAAGAAAUUAUUCCUCAGGAGUUUUACAGAGCUAGGAUUGAAUUGCAUGCUGAAAUUACCAUGGGACUGUUUUUCUGGUAUUUUGUUCUUCCCCAGCAAACAUUUGACAGAGAAAGUGAAGGUUCACAUCUUAUUCUUUUCAAGCAAACUCUGCAUGACGCUUCUCAAAAUGAUCCUAAAUACUAGACAAGAAUGAUUUAUAGAUCAAGAGGUUGUGCUUGUCGAAGACAAUUUCUAACAAAACCACCUGAGAUACCACUACUUGUCACACCAAUAUCUGAUGUCUGCAUCUUUUUACGAACUCCAGGAGUCAUAGAAAAGGACGAGAAUAAGGUGAAAGAAGUAUGCAUGCCAAAAUAUAGAAGCAACGUCUUGGAAAUGGGUAAACAAAUUUAACUUGGAACAUAGUAGGAUAGUGCGGUUAUAUCACACAAACUAGAAUUUAAAAUACUGCAUUGAAUGGACAGUAAAGUAGUUGGCAUGCAUAAGAAAACUCUUACCUAUCAACAACUAAAGAGGUUGCACGUCCAGAUGCAAAGGCGUAAGAACCUGGCAUUUGAAAAUUGCAGUGAAUAACUAGCAAAACACAGACAAAAUGAUUUUUUAAAAGCAUAUGAAGGGAAACCAGGCAUUUGAAAAUAGCAGCCAAUAAUUAGCAAAACAUAGACAAAUUUAUUUCUUGGAAUAUGAAGGGAAACACUGGCUGUAGCAUACUUCAUCACAGAUUGACAUAAAUAGUACAAGUACUAGUUGGAAACUGAAUAGAGGAACUCACUGCAUUUUUAGCCAAGAACAAUGCCGGAACCUGGUACUUUUCAAACAUAAUCUCUGCUGACCUGUCAGAUGCUAGUCAGUUUCUUUAGUGCCGGAGAUUAGACAUAACUUUUCCAAAAGCUAACUCAUAGAAGUAACACAGGGACACCAAAUAAUCUAAAAUCACUUUUAAAAAAAAACACAAAACAUAGUAUUGCAUACAAGAACAUGGAAAAAGGAGGCAAGAUUUAGCAGAUUCUACUUAGGUGCUACAGCCCAAGAGAAGAGCAUUUUGUUUAGACAGCCACAUGGAAUACCACCACUCCUUUCUUAUGUCUCUCAAAAUUAUGGGAAAUGGAAGAAAAGUACUUACAUCUCAAAUACUGAAAUCUCAAACUGAAAUCUCAAAGAAGAGAGACAAAAAUAACCAGAGCUUACCUUGCAAAGACAGACUUAUCCACCCAUAACCCCCAAAAUUAUAUGAGAAAAUUUAACUUAUAAAUCAAGCAUCACCCUAUAUUAGAAAAUUAGUAACACUAAUCUUUUGGAGCAAGAAGCAAAAGGACCUUCCAGGUCAUAUGUAUGAGAGAUGUCAUGCAAGUAAUAAAACAUAUAGGCAUAUAAAGGACUAAAGAAGGAUCCAUAACGGGAUUCUGAAUUUUGAUUAUCAUCUCACUUUUCUCUCUGUGUUGAGAAUUAGCACAUGGCUCAGCAAGCAGCAUGGGAUGCUCUUAGGAUCAAUCAAGAGGCAUUCCCUACAAAUGACAAAGCAAGUAUAGUAUGAAUUAUGAAUUAUAAUAUUCAUUGAAUGGUAGAGAUGGCUGUACCAUUCAAAAACAAUGCGGAGAUGCACAAUUAAGGAAAAAAGGAAAAACACAUUUUUCCACAAACAGUGCAUGACAAUGGAAAGGAUGGGAUGUAUUUAUCCAUAGCUGAAGACAAUACACCAGCACAUAAAAGCUCCCCUUUUCUCCUGUCUUCUAGUAAAUCUAAAUGAAUUCUAGAAUCGAAAACAAUUAUUCACUAAAGUGGUAUCAGUCUGACGAUGAGAAGAAGUACAAGAUUAGUUACAUAUUUAUCUAUGACCUCCAAGAUGAGAAUCAAAAUAUUAAAGAUUUGAACAGAGCUGGAUGUGUUGAAAUUAUUUAAGUUGAAUUGGCUAUUACUCCCGCCAAUAUGCUAUUCAUAAUUUUCCCUAUUGCUAAGGUCUGAUCCAUUUAGUAAGCAAACCAUUGUUGCAUCCCUUGUAACUACUAAGCAGGUGAUGCAGCACAGAGAUUCCAUAUGCUUAGAAUACAAUUUGAACCAAAUGAAUAUGCAAAUUUGAUUACUUGAAGGCAUGAUCCCAUAUGCUUUCAACAAUUUCCCAAUCAGCAACUAUCCCAUCCUUAAUUGGAGAUAGGACCUGAGAAAAUAGAAUAUCACAAGCUCAAUAAGAAAAGAGGUUGAACGUGCAAGCCAAAACCUAUCUAAAAGAUGUUCUUCUGACUGACCUCCACGUGAUCCCGGCGGAAUCCCAAGGCUUGGGAUCCUACGUAUAACUUUCGCUUAGCCUUGGAUUUAGAAUCUGGAACAGAUCCAGAAUUCUUGUCUGGAUUAUCCGGCUCAUCAACUUCCAUUUGAUCAAUUGAUCCAAUAACCUUAUACAAUACAAAUCUUAUGUCAGCUGUUUACUGUGCAUCCAUUAGACGCUACAUUCACCAGUAUGUUUUAGAAGCAUCAGUUAUCCUGUAUUUAAUCUCAUCAAGCUUCACAUUCACGAUAAAGAAAGUCUUCAUUAAGAUUCUAGAACCAAUGUAACAACCUGAUAAAUGAUCAAAUAGUUGAUGCAUCAUUUUACCAAAACAAGACCCUUUCCUUCAAAGACCCCUCGUGUAGCAAUAUGGUGAAUAUCAGAAAAGUGAAGUCCAUAAUUCUGCCAUAUGUUCGACAUUUAAACUUCAAUCUUUAGUAUAGAUCCCCUUGCAAUCUAUAGCAAGUUGGCACUUCAAUUUUCCUUCCAUGCAUAAAAUCCAUUUUAUUCACUGCCUUGUCAAAAAAAAUCUCCUUAAAGAGCCAAAAGAAAGUAAAUUGAAGAAAAAUUAGCACUAUCCACAAUGGCAAAAGUAAAACAACACAACAACUUAAUCCCCUGUAUAUGUUCACAAUCAACUUCUUAGGUUGGUCUGUCCUAUGUUAGUUCUUUUUUCUUAAACUGUAGGUUCAGUUCCUUGUAACCAUGAUUCCACGUUCCAACCUUUAAAAUCUCCCAGUGUAAGAUGUUCACAUCCAACAAACGAGGACCAAAAGAAAAAGAAGAACGACGACUAUCAAAAUCAAACUUUAAUGGUUACAUUAAGAAGAAACUCGAAUGAGAUUAACAUAAAUCAGGUGCAAAAGAAGGUAAAACAAAAAAUUCAAACUUGGAGAAAAAUUCAGCUCCAGAAUAGUAAAAUUCUAGCCACAUUGCAAAAUCAUGAUAAUAAAUGCAGUAAAUUCGCGAAUAUAUUGAGCUGAAAUAGACUACUAGCAAUGGCUUACCGAAGGAAAGACGGCUUUCGGAGCAUCUUCGCCGCAUAACCAGCUUUGCAAGUGUGUGAGCCUAAGUCCACCACUAUAGCUGAUACCUCAUCUUUUUUUUUAUAUACAUAGCAGAGAAAAACGCACGUAAAUAAAACAAAUUUAAACCGGUACAUAGUGAAGUCAGUGCUAGCGAGUGCCUGAGCCUGUAAGUGUGUGUUCUACGUGAGUGAGAAAGAUAGAACGAUACUACCUCCGCCGUACAUUGUUGCAGGGCUAAAUUGGGCGGAGUUCCGAUUUGAUUGGGGAGUUUGGUCUUUGGUUUCUUUGCUUUCCGAGCUUCGUACUCUACUGCGAGGGGGGCUUUGGUUGGGGUUUUGAAAAUAAUCAGGCAGUAGAACAAUAGCGAGUCUUCUACUCUUCUUUCGGCUGGUCGGAUCAGUAACGGGUCGGGUCGGGUGUGUUUAAUUUUGAAGAUUUUUUUAGUGGCAAAGAAUUGGGUGAUGAAUUCCUUUUUUUUUUACCCAUAAAGAGAAUUUUUUUUCCCAAAAGUAAAAAAGUUUUUGGGUUACCUAUUAGUAUUUUAACUAUAAGCAACAAAAUAACAAUUAUAUGAGUAUGACCCCAUUAAUAUGGUAUUGAUAGAAUGGCCUCAUUCUUCUUACAUAGUGUCUUCUUUUCCUUCUCUCCUAAACUCCCAAACCAAGCCAUACUUUACUCUCUCCUUUUGGGCUGGGAUAAAAUUAAAUGGGAUAAUUGCAGAAACCUCUCCUAAGGUUUCUGACAUUUGCACUGACCUUCUCUGUGGUUUGAAAAAUUAUACUGAUCUCCCUUGAUGUUACUAAUCCUUUACAAAUUUAGUCCAAAUGAUUAAAAUAUUAUUUUAGGAAGUGAAAUUAGAAUUUUGUACCAGAUUUGCCCUUUGUGCUACAUAUCUAAUGAAUGACAAAGUACUAUAAAUCAAUUAACAAUUAAUAAAUUUUAAGGAGUAUAAUUUAUGGGCAAACACGCAUUACUCAUUUAAAGUACCAACUCUUUACCAGUAUUUUAUUUUCAAAUAUUUAAUUUAUGAUAAAUAUAUCAAUAUUUGUAAGUAACAUUCAAAAAUUGUUAUAGUAAUAUUCUUGCAAAAAGAAAAUCAAUAGGUUAUUUAUUUAAUAUAAAUUAAAUAUUAUUUUAAAAAAUAAAUGACCCAUAAAGUAUUAAUUUUUUAUGACUUUUAUCCAUUACACGAGUAAAGUAUUCGCUCUUUAUGUGCAUUUUAUUCUGAAUCAUUUAAUUAAUGUUAAAUACAUAAAUGUUUGUAACUAAAAUUGAAAAAGUGUUAUAUUAAUAUUUUUAUGAAAGAGAGAUUGGUAGGUUUUGUAUUUAACAAAAAUUAAAUAUUUGAAAGUAAAUACAGGUCUGUAUUUGAGCAUAAAUAUUUGUAUUAAAUUAAAUGUUAAAGGUACUUUAAAUAGUUACCGGCUCUUUAUAGACAAACACGCAUUACUCAUUUAAAAUAUCGGUUUUUUACGGAUAUUUUACUUUCAAACAUUUAAUUUAUGAUAAAUAUAUCAAUGUUUGUUAGUAAAAUUCAAAAAGUGUUACAGUAAUAUUCUUGAAAAAAGGAAAUCGAUAAGUUAUUUAUUUAAUAUAAAUUAAAUAUUUUUUUAAAAAAAUGACCCAUAAAGUAUUAAUUUUUUAUGGUUUUCAUCCAUUACACGAGUAAAGUAUUAGCUCUUUAUGGGUAUUUUAUUCUGAAUCAUUUAAUUUAUGUUAAAUACAUAAAUGUUUGCAACUAAAAUUGAAAAAGUGUUAUAUUAAUAUUUUUAUGAAAGAGAGAUUGGUAGUUUUUAUAUUUAACAAAAAUUAAAUAUUUGAAAAUAAAUACAAAUAUGUAUUUGAGUGUAAAUAUUUGUAUUAAAUUAAAUGUUUGAAAGUAAAAUACCCAUAAAGAGCCGAUACUUUAAAUAGAUAAUGCAUAUUUGCCUAUAAACUAUAUUCCUUAAAGUUUAUUAAUUUGUAAUAUUUUGUCAUUCAUUGGACAUGUAAUACAAAGGACAAAUUUGGUAAAAAAUUCUAAUUACAUUCCCUAAAACAAUAUUUUAAUCGUUUGGACUAAAUUUGCAAAGGAUUAGUAACCUCAGGAAGGUCAGUAUAAUUUUUCAAAUCACAGAGGAGGUCAAUGCAAAUGUCAGAAACCUCAAGGGAGGUUUCUGCAAUUAUCCCAAAUUAAAUUUUGGGAGUAAAUCUUUGAGAUCCAAGAAUAACAAGUUGGAGAAAACUGCCAUAUAGAGAAUUGGGCUUCAAUUUUCACAUCUCCACUAAAGUACGUUUGCUGACCCAAAAAAACGAAACUUUGUAGACGGACCAAAUGAGCCAGCUAACGAUGAAUUUAGAAAAUACAUAAUCAUAAUAUAUAUAUAUAUUCGUGUGCAUGCCUCAUUCAGAACCAAAUACUCAUAUAUAACCCCCAGCAAAUGGCCAAUAAGGGAGGUGAUCAUAGAUUAUUCAUACAGAGAGGAGAUUAAGAUAGGGUAGCUGGUAUAUUGGCACUGAUACCCUCAUCUUGGUCUACAGAUUCAAAGUCCUAGUGCAUGUCGACUGAUUGAGAUGCUAGCUUUCAAGCUUCUAUAUACAUGUGCAAGUCCUAGUAAUGCAGAUCCAUUACAACUCCCCAAAGUAAUGAAAUCUGAU